GGGCUUGACAUCCCGAUCGUACCUGCUGGAAACAGUGGGGUCAGUUCGGCUGGAUCGGAGACAGGUGCUGCAUGGCUGUCGUCAGCUCGUGUCGUGAGAUGUUGGGUUAAGUCCCGCAACGAGCGCAACCCUUGUCCUUAGUUGCCAUCAUUUGGUUGGGCACUCUAAGGAGACUGCCGGUGUUAAACCGGAGGAAGGUGGGGAUGACGUCAAGUCCUCAUGGCCCUUAUGUCCAGGGCUACACACGUGCUACAAUGGCCGGUACAAAGGGCAGCAAAGCCGCGAGGUGGAGCCAAUCCCAAAAAGCCGGUCUCAGUUCGGAUUGGAGUCUGCAACUCGACUCCAUGAAGUUGGAAUCGCUAGUAAUCGCGGAUCAGCAUGCCGCGGUGAAUACGUUCCC
Molecule: ribosomal RNA, 400 nt
Filed under: uncultured Pelobacter sp.
Lineage: Bacteria; Pseudomonadati; Thermodesulfobacteriota; Desulfuromonadia; Desulfuromonadales; Desulfuromonadaceae
Description: bacterial SSU rRNA
Rfam family: Bacterial small subunit ribosomal RNA
Source: RNAcentral